CGUGUAGGCGGUCAGGUAAGUGAGAUGUGAAAUGCCCCGGCUCACCCGGGGACCGGCAUCUCAUACUGCUUGGCUUGAGUACGGGAGAGGGUGUGGGAAUUCCUGGUGUAGCGGUGAAAUGCGUAGAUAUCAGGAGGAACACCGGUGGCGAAGGCGCACACCUGGCCCGAUACUGACGCUGAGGCGCGAAAGCUAGGGAGCAAACG
Molecule: ribosomal RNA, 206 nt
Filed under: uncultured bacterium
Lineage: Bacteria
Description: partial 16S ribosomal RNA
Rfam family: Bacterial small subunit ribosomal RNA
Source: RNAcentral